GCCACCAUUGUAUCAAUCUGUACGUCUAAGCUUGCUGAAGUUGCAUUGUUGCGAUCGAAGCUCCUUUGUCGCGUGUUUUGUCGCGUGUUUCGAAAUAAUAUCACAAGCGCACCAAUUUGCUAUGAUUGUGAACACUUCUCUCUGAAAUACUAUGUUUAUUACUCAAUAUAUAUCUCAUGUAACUAACGCAUAUUGAUUUCAUUAUAAUCAAGUUGACUCAUAACUUCAACAAGCGUUUGUUACAACAAGCAUAACUGAAAUGUAAACAGUAUUCCGACUACUUAUACUAACUCUCUUUAAUGGUCUUGUCAUCUUCAGUCCACCUCCUCAACUCUUAAAUUUUUUAUUUUUUUUUAUUUGAUUUUAUUCCAUAAACCCAAUGGGCAUUGCUAACAAAAACAACAUAGGAAUUGAACAAAAGUCGGUACAAACAUUCAAUCAAACUUCUCGAAUUCACAAGACGACACAGUCGAGCUACGGGCAUAGCUCCGGGCCAGGCUUCAUCUUGAAAUCGAUUGAGCUGAAUCCGGGUAAGGAGCCAUAGCAUCCCAUUCGCCUCCAACUCUUAAAUUCUUCUUUAAUUACCAACUCAUCUUUUUCACCAGCUUCUUUCUUCGAUAUAAGCCCUCAAUGGCCUAUCAUCCCUACACAUUUUCAUUGCUUCAACCUUUAUACUCGGGUGAACUUUAGAAUAUUGGAUAAACCAAUAUUAUAAUAUCUAAAUGUACCGUGAUUGAU
Molecule: long non-coding RNA, 738 nt
Filed under: Brassica rapa (field mustard)
Lineage: Eukaryota; Viridiplantae; Streptophyta; Magnoliopsida; Brassicales; Brassicaceae
Description: long non-coding RNA (BRAP_LNC006588)
Source: RNAcentral